CCUGUAGAACAAUGAUCCCAGUAUAAGCACAUAUAUGACUCUAGAUCUCAAGUCCAGUUCUUCUGAUGUGUACAACACACUCGCAUCUGUCCAUCCCAGAGCUGCUGUUCAUCAGUCGUGCUCUUCUGAAUAUCAGAAUCAGACAGUACGCAGCAGCAACCAAAACAUCCUGUAUUAACUGUAUUAGUUACACACAACACUGACAGGGAUUUCACAGUUCAUGCAUUACCAUAAAUACUAUAAUACUCUCUGACUGUCAUUACAAACCCAGGCAUAGUUUUGAAGAUUUUGAUUAGUGACGUAUGUUGAGACACUGCCAGUGGGCACUGAUUCAUUGCAUAGGUUGGGAUUCUGGAUGGGGUUAUUUCCUGUGCCACCCACCUCUACUGCCCACUAGAUCCUGUCAGUUCUCUUUUGCCAGUAAACUGAAGUUGAAAAGAAAAUAUCUCAAGGGUGUUUAAGAAUAAGAUGUCCGUCUGUGGUCAAAGUGAUGAAAUAUAGUCUUACUCAAUACAUGUUUCAAAUUCUUCUGAAAAUGUUUCCAGGAAGAAAUGAUGGACAAUGUAAAAC
Carassius carassius (crucian carp) is the source of this 570-nucleotide long non-coding RNA. RefSeq lists it as uncharacterized. The record is from RefSeq and is a predicted model, not a curated record. The transcript is spliced from 3 exons. NCBI's taxonomy places the organism in Eukaryota, Metazoa, Chordata, Actinopteri, Cypriniformes, Cyprinidae.